AAAGCUCUCGUGGCGGUGUGUUUAUUAUACCACAAUCUCUGGCACACAAUUAUUGCAAGGACUUUGUGUUUUUAAAGGAAACUCCAACCAUUCUCUGAGGGAGCCUCUGAGUCUAGCCCAGUCCCAGGACACUGUGUUGCAGACCAACUCAGCACCAACACACAACUCGCAACAAACUGCAUCUUUGGGUAUUCACUCCCAGGCUGAGGAAAAGCCAAGAAUUGCACAGACGGAAGAAGAUUGGAACAAGCUGCUGCAGCUCUCUCCCCUGUUCCACCUAGUGAGAGCUGUGGAGCUACAGCUGAGGGGCUGGGCAUGUGGGGCAGGGCUUCUUCAAGGAGAGCGCAGAGAUGGAGGCAAGAGUUUUGUAGAUGUUCUUGAUGCACAGUGGGAAUGUGAAGGGGAACUGAUCCCUUUGGAUUUGUCGGUCCUUAACCCCAGAGAGUUCCUGGUCUACCAGCACGGGUUAUUCCUGAUACAUACGUUGCAUAAUUUGAACCUGACUCCACCCAUUUCACUUCAUAUCGCUGCUAGUCUCCCAAACAACAACUACUUGAACAACGCCUUCAGGAAUUCUUUCUUUUAUCAGGAGCUAGAGGGGAUGCUCUUUGUUCGUCGCCAGAGGCUCCAUUCAGUUGGAGGCUUCUCUUUACUGCUGCUUCACUGUUUGUCCCACAUCAAAGUAAAAGACAUGACCACUGACUCCAGUCCUGUUUUUCAGAGGCUUUUCUACAAGGUAAUACAGGCAUGCCUUGGAGAGUUGUUUCAGACCAGGCUGGAUAUGCCCCCCUGUGGACAGGAGGCUAAUUGGUGUUCAGGAGGCUUACACAGGACUCUGUCAGACUCUCUGGAUUCCUCCUUGUUUGACAAGCUUCACAAACCAAGCAGAGGUUUGCAGAAGAAGUUGGACAACUCCAGGGGAAGCUCAGAGAAACAUCUUUGUUUUAUCAUCUUGAAAGUCUUCUGA
Molecule: long non-coding RNA, 967 nt
Filed under: Echeneis naucrates (live sharksucker)
Lineage: Eukaryota; Metazoa; Chordata; Actinopteri; Carangiformes; Echeneidae
Description: lncRNA (ENSENLG00000009434.1)
Source: RNAcentral